CAGCAGCCACGGUAAUACGGAGGGUGCAAGCGUUAAUCGGAAUUACUGGGCGUAAAGCGCACGCAGGCGGUUUGUUAAGUCAGAUGUGAAAUCCCCGAGCUUAACUUGGGAACUGCAUUUGAAACUGGCAAGCUAGAGUCUUGUAGAGGGGGGUAGAAUUCCAGGUGUAGCGGUGAAAUGCGUAGAGAUCUGGAGGAAUACCGGUGGCGAAGGCGGCCCCCUGGACAAAGACUGACGCUCAGGUGCGAAAGCGUGGGGAGCAAACAGGAUUAGAUACCCCUGUAGUCCCUGUCUCUUAUAA
Molecule: ribosomal RNA, 301 nt
Filed under: uncultured bacterium
Lineage: Bacteria
Description: partial 16S ribosomal RNA
Rfam family: Bacterial small subunit ribosomal RNA
Source: RNAcentral